GUCCCAGUAGCGCAAUGGAUAGAGCGUUGGACUUCUAAUCCAAAGGUCGUGGGUUCCAAUCCCACCUGGGAUA
This 73-nucleotide transfer RNA is filed under the name Trichonephila inaurata madagascariensis. It matches the Rfam family "tRNA". From Rfam's summary of the family: Transfer RNA (tRNA) molecules are approximately 80 nucleotides in length. Their secondary structure includes four short double-helical elements and three loops (D, anti-codon, and T loops). Lineage: Eukaryota; Metazoa; Arthropoda; Arachnida; Araneae; Nephilidae. The record is from Rfam by way of RNAcentral.